This 1343-nucleotide ribosomal RNA is filed under the name uncultured bacterium. Its description in RNAcentral is "16S ribosomal RNA". It matches the Rfam family "Bacterial small subunit ribosomal RNA", at positions 28 to 1378 of the family's 1533-position model. The record is from RNAcentral.
GACGAACGCUGGCGGCGUGCUUAACACAUGCAAGUCGAACGGAAAGGCCCUGCUUUUGUGGGGUGCUCGAGUGGCGAACGGGUGAGUAACACGUGAGUAACCUGCCCUUGACUUUGGGAUAACUUCAGGAAACUGGGGCUAAUACCGGAUAGGAGCUCCUGCUGCAUGGUGGGGGUUGGAAAGUUUCGGCGGUUGGGGAUGGACUCGCGGCUUAUCAGCUUGUUGGUGGGGUAGUGGCCUACCAAGGCUUUGACGGGUAGCCGGCCUGAGAGGGUGACCGGCCACAUUGGGACUGAGAUACGGCCCAGACUCCUACGGGAGGCAGCAGUGGGGAAUAUUGCACAAUGGGCGGAAGCCUGAUGCAGCAACGCCGCGUGCGGGAUGACGGCCUUCGGGUUGUAAACCGCUUUCGCCUGUGACGAAGCGUGAGUGACGGUAAUGGGUAAAGAAGCACCGGCUAACUACGUGCCAGCAGCCGCGGUGAUACGUAGGGUGCGAGCGUUGUCCGGAUUUAUUGGGCGUAAAGGGCUCGUAGGUGGUUGAUCGCGUCGGAAGUGUAAUCUUGGGGCUUAACCCUGAGCGUGCUUUCGAUACGGGUUGACUUGAGGAAGGUAGGGGAGAAUGGAAUUCCUGGUGGGGCGGUGGAAUGCGCAGAUAUCAGGAGGAACACCAGUGGCGAAGGCGGUUCUCUGGGCCUUUCCUGACGCUGAGGAGCGAAAGCGUGGGGAGCGAACAGGCUUAGAUACCCUGGUAGUCCACGCUGUAAACGGUGGGUACUAGGUGUGGGGUCCAUUCCACGGGUUCCGUGCCGUAGCUAACGCUUUAAGUACCCCGCCUGGGGAGUACGACCGCAAGGCUAAAACUCAAAGGAAUUGACGGGGCCCCGCACAAGCGGCGGAGCAUGCGGAUUAAUUCGAUGCAACGCGUAGAACCUUACCUGGGUUUGACAUGGAUCGGGAGUGCUCAGAGAUGGGUGUGCCUCUUUUGGGGUCGGUUCACAGGUGGUGCAUGGCUGUCGUCAGCUCGUGUCGUGAGAUGUUGGGUUAAGUCCCGCAACGAGCGCAACCCUUGUUCACUGUUGCCAGCACGUUAUGGUGGGGACUCAGUGGAGACCGCCGGGGUCAACUCGGAGGAAGGUGGGGAUGACGUCAAGUCAUCAUGCCCCUUAUGUCCAGGGCUUCACGCAUGCUACAAUGGCUGGUACAGAGAGUGGCGAGCCUGUGAGGGUGAGCGAAUCUCGGAAAGCCGGUCUCAGUUCGGAUUGGGGUCUGCAACUCAACCUCAUGAAGUCGGAGUCGCUAGUAAUCGCAGAUCAGCAACGCUGCGGUGAAUACGUUCCCGGG